This 82-nucleotide transfer RNA is filed under the name Planctomycetaceae bacterium. RNAcentral's name for it is "tRNA-Tyr". Lineage: Bacteria; Pseudomonadati; Planctomycetota; Planctomycetia; Planctomycetales; Planctomycetaceae. The record is from RNAcentral.
GCGUCGGCUGGGCAUUGGCGAGCCUAAGUGGCUGUAACCCACCCGCUUUCGAGCUUUGGCGGUUCAACUCCGUCCCGACGCA